This 107-nucleotide small nuclear RNA is filed under the name Castor canadensis (American beaver). The record is from RNAcentral. Lineage: Eukaryota; Metazoa; Chordata; Mammalia; Rodentia; Castoridae.
UUGCUCACAUCGGCAGCACAUGCACUAAAAUUGGAAUGAAGCAGAGAUUAGCAUGGCCCUGAGCAAGGAGGACACAUGUGCAAAUUCAUGAAGCGUUCCAUAUUCUU